This 81-nucleotide small RNA is filed under the name Microcebus murinus (gray mouse lemur). RNAcentral describes it as "Y RNA (ENSMICG00000024832.3)". Lineage: Eukaryota; Metazoa; Chordata; Mammalia; Primates; Cheirogaleidae. The record is from RNAcentral.
GGCCAGUACAAGUAAUACCACAACCAGUUACAGACUUUUUGUUCCUUCUCCAUUCCUACUGUUUCACUUGACUAGCCUUAA